UAAAGAAAGCGAGAUAUGCAACGCAUCCAUCUUUUUAUUAACAAGUUUCUAUUUUUCUUUAGGCGUUCUGAUUAGGCGAACUGAGUUGUACGUGAUAAGUUCCUGUGAGCUUAUUCAUAGGCAUUCUGAUCAUUACAUUAGGCGAUAUAUCAAGCGGUUAGUCUAGGAAUUCUAGCUAGACAAAGCGAGAAACUUAUUCUACCAAGUGACACAGAAGGCAAUUUAGCACGCAGAUUGUCUAGGUGUUCAGUCUGAGUGCUAUAUUUCCUCGACACUUUACUCUUUCAAGGCGUUUACACCAACAUAAUACUAUAAUACAACACACCUUUAUGGCUUUAUAACCCUAAUGAAAUAAAACCCACUACAAGAAUUUGGAGUUCUACCGAUGCAACUGCACAUUGCAAGAAAUCCUUUGUGCGUCGGUGAAGGCUACCACCACACAGAAGGAAACAGCGGCAAGGGCAUCAUAAAUAACGUGUCGUAAGAGGUAAUGAUGACACAGAAACGUGAAGAUGUU
This 517-nucleotide long non-coding RNA is filed under the name Cucumis sativus (cucumber). RNAcentral's name for it is "long non-coding RNA (CSAT_LNC001559)". The record is from RNAcentral. Lineage: Eukaryota; Viridiplantae; Streptophyta; Magnoliopsida; Cucurbitales; Cucurbitaceae.